RNAcentral lists this long non-coding RNA (701 nucleotides) under Homo sapiens (human). RNAcentral describes it as "non-protein coding lnc-GPAT4-4:1". Lineage: Eukaryota; Metazoa; Chordata; Mammalia; Primates; Hominidae. The record is from RNAcentral.
ACUUGAUGCUGUGCUCAUCUAAGGCCCCAAACCUCCAUUUCCCCAUUGCUAAAAUGGGGAUCUUGCCAGGGGGCUGCGAGAAUCGAAGGGGACAGCGGCAGAGAGCUCCAGGCUUGCCAGGGCGCCCAACAGGUCUCUCUGCAGACAAGCAUAAUGAAAAGCUGGAGGCCUCGCCUGUGGGGUUCUGUCCUCUGGGCCACAUGCAGCUAUGCCAAGCAGGGAUGAUGUGGGAGAGAAGAAAGGGAAGAAAUAGACUAUGCAGCACUUAAACCCCCAGCUCGCUCCUGGCUUGAUGCAGUGGGCUGUUCUCAGUAUAGACAGGGACUCUGGGACACUUGAUGGGCUGCUGCUGCUGUCAAUUCCUGCAGGGAUUUCACGAGCUGGAAGAACACAAGCCUGCAGCAAAGAAUCCCAUGCGAGUGGGAUUCUCAGGCGACUCUGCCUCCCCAGGAUGAUUUGGGAGAACAGGUCCGGGCUGCUUCAAAUGGUGGCCAGUCAGAGACAUGAAGUGGCUCCUCUCUACAGGGACAUCAGAGCUGAGAUCAGGGCAGCCCCAGGAUUCGAGAGAAGGGCAUCCUGGCAGCUCAGGCCCUGUGGCAAUGACCGUCGCGCUUAACCCUCCUAUGCAAUCAACUCAAACCCAGAACUCAAUAGCAACAACACUAUUUGCUUUCUGGACAGCCUCUUAAGAGGCUCUAAAU